This 140-nucleotide ribosomal RNA is filed under the name uncultured bacterium. RNAcentral's name for it is "partial 16S rRNA". It matches the Rfam family "Bacterial small subunit ribosomal RNA", at positions 355 to 511 of the family's 1533-position model. The record is from RNAcentral.
UGGGGAAUAUUGGACAAUGGGCGAAAGCCUGAUCCAGCAAUGCCGCGUGUGUGAAGAAGGUCUUCGGAUUGUAAAGCACUUUCGACGGGGACGAUGAUGACGGUACCCGUAGAAGAACGCCCCGGCUAACUUCGUGCCCG